GUGAACGCUGGCGGUAGGCCUAACACAUGCAAGUCGAACGGCAGCACCGUAAGAGCUUGCUCUUACGGGUGGCGAGUGGCGGACGGGUGAGGAAUACAUCGGAAUCUACUUUUUCGUGGGGGAUAACGUAGGGAAACUUACGCUAAUACCGCAUACGACCUACGGGUGAAAGCAGGGGAUCUUCGGACCUUGCGCGAUUGAAUGAGCCGAUGUCGGAUUAGCUAGUUGGCGGGGUAAAGGCCCACCAAGGCGACGAUCCGUAGCUGGUCUGAGAGGAUGAUCAGCCACACUGGAACUGAGACACGGUCCAGACUCCUACGGGAGGCGGCAGUGGGGAAUAUUGGACAAUGGGCGCAAGCCUGAUCCAGCCAUACCGCGUGGGUGAAGAAGGCCUUCGGGUUGUAAAGCCCUUUUGUUGGGAAAGAAAAGCAGCAGGUUAAUACCCCGCUGUUCUGACGGUACCCAAAGAAUAAGCACCGGCUAACUUCGUG
Molecule: ribosomal RNA, 491 nt
Filed under: uncultured bacterium
Lineage: Bacteria
Description: partial 16S ribosomal RNA
Rfam family: Bacterial small subunit ribosomal RNA
Source: RNAcentral